AAUAGAUACCCUGGUAGUCCACGCUGUAAACGUUGGACACUAGGUGUGGCGGUCUGAUCAACGACUGCCGUGCCGAAGCUAACGCAUUAAGUGUCCCGCCUGGGGAGUACGGCCGCAAGGCUAAAACUCAAAGGAAUUGACGGGUCCCCGCACAAGCGGCGGAGCAUGCGGCUUAAUUCGAUGCAACCCGAAGAACCUUACCUGGGUUUGACAUCAUGGGAAAAGCCGUGGAAACACGGUGUCCGAAAGGGCCCAUGACAGGUGGUGCAUGGCUGUCGUCAGCUCGUGUCGUGAGAUGUUGGGUUAAGUCCCGCAACGAGCGCAACCCUUGUCCUAUGUUGCCAGCGGUUCGGCCGGGGACUCAUAGGAGACUACCGGGGAUAACUCGGAGGAAGGUGAGGACGAUGUCAAGUCAUCAUGCCCCUUAUAUCCAGGGCUGCACGCAUGCUACAAUGGUCGGUACAACGGGCAGCGAUCCUGCGAAGGUGAGCGAAUCCCACAAAGCCGGCCUCAGUUCGGA
Molecule: ribosomal RNA, 520 nt
Filed under: uncultured bacterium
Lineage: Bacteria
Description: bacterial SSU rRNA
Rfam family: Bacterial small subunit ribosomal RNA
Source: RNAcentral